Prolemur simus (greater bamboo lemur) is the source of this 107-nucleotide small nuclear RNA. Lineage: Eukaryota; Metazoa; Chordata; Mammalia; Primates; Lemuridae. The record is from Ensembl.
GCGCUUGCUUCGGCAGCACCUGUAUUAAAUUUGGAACAACACAGAGAAGAUUAACACGGCCCCUGUGCAAGGAUGACACACAAAUCUGUGAAGCAUUCCAUACUUUU